This 368-nucleotide RNase P RNA is filed under the name Mariprofundaceae bacterium. RNAcentral describes it as "RNase P RNA component class A". It matches the Rfam family "Bacterial RNase P class A". Rfam says of the family: Ribonuclease P (RNase P) is a ubiquitous endoribonuclease, found in archaea, bacteria and eukarya as well as chloroplasts and mitochondria. Its best characterised activity is the generation of mature 5'-ends of tRNAs by cleaving the 5'-leader elements of precursor-tRNAs. The record is from RNAcentral. Lineage: Bacteria; Pseudomonadati; Pseudomonadota; Candidatius Mariprofundia; Mariprofundales; Mariprofundaceae.
GGAGCGGUUCGGGUGGUCGCGGCAGGGCCGUAUUGACGGUGCUGUCGAGGAAAGUCCGGGCUGCACAGGGCAAAAUGCCGGAUAACGUCCGGCGGGGGCGACCCCGGGAAAGUGCCACAGAAAACAGACCGCCAGGCGUGCCUGGUAAGGGUGAAACGGUGCGGUAAGAGCGCACCGCCCCGCACGGCAACGGGCGGGGGCACGGUAAACCCCAUUUGCAGCAAGGCCGCAUAGGGAAGCCUCAAGCGUGGCCCGCGCAUGCUUCCGGGUAGGCCGCUCGAGCCUGUCAGCAAUGGCAGGCCCAGAUGAAUGACCACCGCUUCCGUGAUAAGGAAGCACAGAACCCGGCUUACAGAACCGCUCCGCAU